CCGUCUGCCGGCCAGGGGCUCUCGGCAGAAGGCGCGGAAGUUCCGCUCGUGCUCAAGUCCCCGCACAGGCUUUUCCUGGGGGACAGUUGAGUGGCUUCGCGCGGACUACUUCCCGUACGAAGCUAGUUCCGGCAGCAGCCAUUCGGCUAUUCGCUGCGUCCGCCACCGCCAUUUCAGGAGCUGCCGUCUCAGCGCCUCUGGAUCUUGAGUAGUCCCGUGUCGCCCGCUUCAGACGAGUGAGCCUCUUCUCACUCGCGGCCCCUCUGCUACCUCCACCAGAGCUUCACCCGCCCCCUUUCCCGAUGGCGACCUCCGUGGGGAACGUGGCCGACAGCACAGGGUUAGCGGAGUUGGCUCAUCGUGAGUAUCAGGCAGGAGACUUUGAAGCAGCAGAGAGACACUGCAUGCAGCUUUGGAGACAAGAGCCUGAUAAUACUGGUGUGCUUUUAUUACUGUCAUCCAUUCACUUCCAGUGUCGCAGACUGGACAGAUCUGCUCACUUCAGCACUUUGGCCAUAAAACAAAAUCCACUGUUGGCUGAAGCCUACUCAAACCUUGGCAAUGUCUACAAGGAGCGUGGACAGCUACAAGAAGCAAUUGAACAUUACAGACAUGCACUGCGCCUCAAGCCAGAUUUCAUUGAUGGAUAUAUUAAUUUAGCUGCUGCCCUGGUAGCAGCAGGUGAUAUGGAAGGAGCAGUACAGGCAUAUGUGUCUGCCCUUCAGUACAACCCUGACUUGUACUGUGUUCGUAGUGACCUGGGGAACCUGCUCAAAGCCCUGGGUCGCUUGGAAGAAGCCAAGGCCUGUUACUUAAAAGCAAUUGAGACUCAACCAAACUUUGCAGUGGCUUGGAGUAAUCUUGGCUGUGUUUUCAAUGCCCAAGGAGAAAUUUGGCUUGCUAUUCAUCACUUUGAAAAGGCUGUAACACUUGACCCAAAUUUUCUGGAUGCUUACAUCAAUCUGGGAAAUGUCCUGAAAGAGGCAAGGAUAUUUGACAGAGCUGUAGCAGCUUAUCUACGAGCCUUGAGUUUGAGUCCAAAUCACGCAGUUGUGCAUGGCAACCUUGCCUGUGUGUAUUAUGAGCAAGGACUUAUAGACCUGGCGAUAGACACCUACAGGAGAGCUAUUGAACUACAACCGCACUUCCCUGAUGCCUAUUGUAACUUGGCCAACGCAUUGAAGGAGAAAGGCAGUGUGGUAGAAGCAGAAGAAUGCUACAAUACAGCUCUUCGACUUUGUCCCACUCAUGCAGAUUCUCUCAACAAUCUGGCAAACAUCAAACGGGAGCAGGGAAAUAUUGAGGAAGCUGUUCGUCUGUAUCGGAAGGCUCUUGAGGUGUUUCCAGAGUUUGCUGCUGCACAUUCAAAUUUAGCAAGUGUUCUGCAGCAGCAGGGGAAGUUACAGGAAGCUCUGAUGCAUUACAAAGAAGCUAUUAGGAUCAGCCCCACAUUUGCAGAUGCUUAUUCCAAUAUGGGAAAUACUUUAAAGGAGAUGCAGGAUGUUCAAGGAGCUCUACAGUGCUACACCCGUGCCAUUCAGAUAAACCCAGCUUUCGCUGAUGCCCACAGCAACCUGGCUUCUAUUCACAAGGAUUCGGGGAAUAUUCCAGAAGCCAUUGCUUCUUAUCGCACUGCUCUGAAACUGAAACCUGAUUUUCCAGAUGCUUACUGUAACUUGGCCCACUGUUUGCAGAUUGUCUGUGACUGGACAGACUAUGAUGAAAGAAUGAAGAAGCUGGUUAGCAUUGUAGCUGAUCAGCUGGAGAAAAACAGACUGCCUUCUGUCCACCCACAUCAUAGUAUGCUGUAUCCCCUUUCUCACAGUUUCAGGAAGGCUAUUGCUGAGAGACAUGGAAAUCUGUGUUUGGACAAGAUUAAUGUUCUUCACAAGCCACCUUAUGAGCAUCCCAAGGAUUUGAAGGCCAGUGAAGGUAGACUUCGUAUUGGCUAUGUGAGCUCUGAUUUUGGAAACCAUCCAACCUCACACCUUAUGCAGUCAAUCCCAGGCAUGCAUAAUCCAGACAAAUUUGAGGUGUUCUGUUACGCCCUGAGUCCUGAUGAUGGUACAAACUUCCGUGUAAAAGUGAUGGCUGAAGCAAAUCAUUUCAUUGACUUAUCUCAGAUACCAUGUAAUGGAAAAGCAGCAGACCGCAUCCAUCAGGACGGGAUACACAUUCUUAUUAAUAUGAAUGGCUACACUAAAGGAGCCCGAAAUGAAUUAUUUGCCCUGAGACCAGCACCUAUUCAGGCCAUGUGGCUAGGGUAUCCUGGAACCAGUGGGGCAUUGUUCAUGGACUAUAUCAUCACAGACAAAGAAACUUCCCCAGUUGAGGUGGCUGAGCAGUAUUCAGAGAAAUUAGCAUACAUGCCAAACACUUUCUUUAUUGGAGAUCAUGCCAACAUGUUCCCCCAUUUAAAGAAAAAAGCAGUCAUUGAUUUCAAGUCCAAUGGUCACAUUUAUGAUAACAGAAUUGUUUUGAAUGGCAUUGACUUGAAGGCUUUCCUUGACAGUCUCCCUGAUGUCAAGAUUGUUAAGAUGAAGUGUCCUGAUGGUUGUGACAAUGCAGAUGGUAAUGCUGCCCUCAGUAUGCCAGUCAUUCCUAUGAACACAAUUGCAGAAGCUGUCAUUGAGAUGAUUAACCGUGGGCAAAUUCAGAUAACUAUCAAUGGAUUCAACAUCAGUAAUGGAUUAGCAACUACUCAGAUUAACAACAAAGCAGCAACUGGUGAAGAAGUUCCACGAACUAUAAUUGUUACUACACGUUCUCAGUAUGGCUUACCAGAAGAUGCUGUUGUGUACUGUAACUUUAAUCAGCUGUAUAAGAUUGAUCCUUCCACUUUACAGAUGUGGGCUAAUAUCCUAAAAAGAGUUCCGAACAGUGUGCUGUGGCUGCUACGCUUCCCAGCUGUAGGAGAACCCAAUAUUCAGCAAUAUGCACAAAACUUGGGUCUUUCCCAAAACCGAAUCAUCUUUUCUCCUGUUGCCCCCAAAGAAGAACAUGUGAGGAGAGGGCAAUUGGCUGAUGUCUGUCUGGACACUCCGCUUUGCAAUGGGCACACAACUGGAAUGGAUGUACUCUGGGCUGGGACUCCAAUGGUCACAAUGCCAGGUAUUACAGUGAGGAACCUACAAAGAGCACAUAGGCGAGACUCUUGCAUCACGAGUUGCUGCCUCCCAGCUUACUUGCCUGGGUUGUCUUGAGCUCAUUGCAAAAAGUAGACAGGAAUAUGAGGAUAUUGCUGUGAAACUGGGAACUGAUCUGGAAUACCUGAAAAAAAUACGUGGCAAGGUCUGGAAGCAGAGAAUAUCCAGUUCUUUGUUCAACACAAAGCAGUACACAAUGGACCUGGAGCGGCUUUAUCUUCAGAUGUGGGAUCACUAUGCUGCUGGCAACAAACCAGACCAUAUGAUUAAGCCAGUAGAGGCCAGUGACUCUGCGUGAAGAGAGACUGUGUGUGCCCACCCAAAACUCCCCAGAAACUGAGCCUCUCAAACAUUUCUGCAGAAAUGAUGAGCUAAAAACUGUGCAUUUCUACUUGAUCUGCCUGGUACUCUGUGGCUGAAGUAAUACAUGAUGUUGAUUAAAGCACAGCCAGACUUACUUCUUGCAUGAUAGGGAAAGACUCAGUAGAGCCUGGAAUCCUUUUAUUCCAUGAGUAAUUGGAAUGGGAUUGAGCCAUGUACAUGUGAGCCUGUGUGUAUGAACGGCAUAGUGGUUGCUAGGGGAAGCUUAAACUGCCCAACCAAUUAUAAUUUCAUGGGUUGAUAUAAUCAUCUUAUGAAUCUCCUUUUAUGUGGAUUGGAACUUGGAACAUUUUAACAUUUAUUUUGGGUACUCCUCUUGAUAUAUGUGUGGUUCUCCAUUGACAAGAUUUCCAGCUAGUGAGUGUUGCUCCCUGCAUUAAUUUCUAAACUGUGGACUGAAAGGGCGUAUUUGCUGGUGUAGUCUUUUUUUAUAGGUUUUAUAAACCACUUGAGCCUAUAUCAGCCUUUUAAUGUUUGACCUGUUUUGGAGCUCUCUGUAAACUGUUGGUUUAGGUAAGGACUCUGGUUUUGGGUUUGUUUGUUUGUUUGUUUGUUUGUUUGUUUGUUUGUUUUGAAGCUUCUCCAGUAACUCACUUUAUUGGCUUCAUGAUGGCAGCUCAUAUUCUGUUGAAAACCCAAAUUUUAUUUGAAAUUAAUUCUCCCUACAGAUAAACAAAAACUGGUGCCAAAUUACAGAUCUUUCAGGAAUGAUUGUUAAUUAUGUAUAGAAGUGCAGUCCUAGGUGCUGUAGCAAAGACUUAAAAAAAAAAAAAUAAAGCUUUGGUUUGCCAGUUUGA
RNA transcript from Calypte anna (Anna's hummingbird), 4324 nucleotides. It is a transcript of the gene named O-linked N-acetylglucosamine (GlcNAc) transferase, with no coding region annotated. The record is from RefSeq and is a predicted model, not a curated record. Lineage: Eukaryota; Metazoa; Chordata; Aves; Apodiformes; Trochilidae. The transcript is spliced from 22 exons.